Anguilla rostrata (American eel) is the source of this 1469-nucleotide long non-coding RNA. RefSeq lists it as uncharacterized. The transcript is spliced from 2 exons. NCBI's taxonomy places the organism in Eukaryota, Metazoa, Chordata, Actinopteri, Anguilliformes, Anguillidae. The record is from RefSeq and is a predicted model, not a curated record.
AAGAUGCGCAGACUCCCUUUGUAGAGAUCUGGAGCAGAGAAGAACCAGGAGAUCUUGGUUAGAGGACCUGCGUGGUCUUGUGGGGAUGUAAGGCAUCAGUAAUUCUGUAAUAUAUGGCAGAGCCAGACUGUGAAGUGCUUUGAAGGCAGCAUCCACUUCUUUGGAGCAUAAAGAAGAAUACAUGCACAAAAUCGUUAUCAGGGUCUAAGUAGUGCCCUUAAUUAAGUUCCCAAUUGACUUUCAUUAAUGUAUUGUCGAGCUCACGCACAUACACCGCCGGAGACAUUCUAAAGCUCCGUUUUGCCCUCUCUAUUGUUAGGUUUCAAUUGCUAGACUAAGAGAAUUCAUUUAUCAGGCUAUUUGGUGUAGUGUAUGAAGUUUAUGUUGGGAAUUUUUCUGUUAAAAAUACAGCUCUGAUAAAUCAUCGAAAUACAGUUUGAAACAGUAAACUAAACGUCAAAUGUUCCACUUCUAUCGACUCCUCUGAUUGGACAGUGACGUAACCCGCGCUUGCUCGGGCGUUUUCAGUUAGGGUGAUUGUUGCUUUUCCCCGCCGUAUGAAACAAGUGAGUGUGAUCAAUUAGAAGUAGCCUACCGGAUUUCUAAAGUUUUACCUCGCAAAGUCGUUAUCAAGAAUCAAAAGAUAGGCUACAGUGACUUGCAAGAAAGACGGGAUUGCUGAGGUAAUGCAUCCCUACUUGAUUGACAAACCGAGAAAAAGAGAACAAAUUGGCGCGAACUCAGUUAAGUAAGUCAACGAGGAAACCACUGUUCAGCAUGGAGACCUGCUUAUGCUUCGACGGAACUAAAGAGAGCUUCAGCACACAAGCGGGGUUUCAGUUUUUUUGGAGGCCAUUGACAAAGAAGAGAGCAGGAGAAGAGCGGCGUUUUGUCAAUCCUGGGUUCAAAGACUUCUGCCUCACCGAAUGACCUGAUUACACGCGGCCGCAGCUCAGCCCCGAGACCUCAGGAACGGCGGCCCUGGGCCUCCUCCGGAAGAUAAGUGAUGUCUUAAUGCCGUUCCGCUCGCUGCGCCGCCGAAGCAAGCCCUGCCAGAUGUUUCCACCUGCGUAGUGCAUCACUGCGAGCGCAGACGCGUUCGGCCCAGCGCGUAGCGGCUGAACGUGAUCUUCGUUUUCUUCUGCGGAGCAUCUAGGCGCCAUUUUAUUUCUUACAAAUUGUGUGCAUUGUCUGCGUAUUCCUCCAGUGGCUGUAUGCUGUGCUGUGCUGUAUAUUCUCAUGCCGCCAUCAAUAAUUAAAAGGCCGACUAUAUUGCCACUGUUGCAUACAGUAUACGUAAUGACUGUAAUCAUGGCUGAUGUAAUAAUCAUUCCUACACAAAUAAUCAAAACAAAUGGAUCUACUUAAUUACCUCUGGCAUUAAAAAUGUCAGUCUCUCCUAAGAAGUGCAAAUUAACGCAAUUAAAUUAAUUAAUGUUGUUGGUAAGAGCACAUGUUGAAUUGUUCAA